Lagopus leucura (white-tailed ptarmigan) is the source of this 922-nucleotide long non-coding RNA. RefSeq lists it as uncharacterized. NCBI's taxonomy places the organism in Eukaryota, Metazoa, Chordata, Aves, Galliformes, Phasianidae. The transcript has 4 exons. The record is from RefSeq and is a predicted model, not a curated record.
AACCUGGGUUAGUACCAGAUCUGGAGGUUGGUGGCCAUGCCUGUAGCACAGGGGUCGAACAUGAUCCUUGGUGCUCCUUCCAACCCAAGCCAUUCUGUGAUUCUAAAUAGGGCAGCCACAUAGAACACUGGCAAGAAGUAUCGGGAUUAUGCAGAAGGGAAAUAACAACUUGGGAAGAGGAAGAUCAAGACCAAUAUAAGCUGUAAAUGGAGAUAACACUUUGUUUCAGGACUUCUUUCUGUGCGCCCAUCUGCAAGCUUCUAACUUUCAUCAAUGUGUGUUUAAUGUAGGUGAAACUAAAAUGUACACCUGGAAAAUAUCAGCAAGAUCUAGUUCUGAGAGAGGUGAUCCACACUGUACUGCAUGGGCAUACCAUUCAACAGUGGACAUCAUUAAGGACACUUACAGUGGAUUAAUAGGCACACUUGUUGUGUGUCCUAAACAUUAUUUACCAUCGUCUCAUUCUAGAAAGAAAGUUCAUUUUGCUCUUCUGUUUAUGAUUUUUGAUGAAAGUGAGUCAUGACUAGGAUUUGGAUGAAAACAUUGCAACCUAUUCUGCCAACCCACACCUUGUUAGCAAAGAAAAUGAGGAAUUCCUUGAAAGUAACAAAAUGCAUGCCAUUAAUGGAAAAGUGUUUGGAAAUUUACAUGGUCUGACUAUGCAUGUUGGAGAUGAAGUAAGCUGGUAUUUGAUGGCAAUGGGCAACGAAAUAGAUAUUCACACAGCACACUUCCAUGGCCACAGCUUUGACUAUAAGCAAACAGGAGUUUACCGGGCAGAUGUCUUCGAUGUGUUCCCAGGAACAUUUCAAACAGUGGAAAUGAUCCCACAGAACCCUGGAAGGUGGUUACUGCACUGUCACGUUACUGACCACAUCCAUGCAGGCAUGGAAGCAACUUAUACAGUGCUCCCAAAGGAAGG